This 253-nucleotide ribosomal RNA is filed under the name uncultured bacterium. RNAcentral's name for it is "partial 16S ribosomal RNA". It matches the Rfam family "Bacterial small subunit ribosomal RNA", at positions 524 to 776 of the family's 1533-position model. The record is from RNAcentral.
UACGUAGGGUGCGAGCGUUGCCCGGAUUUAUUGGGCGUAAAGGGCGCGUAGGCGGCUCGGCACGUCCGUUGUGAAAUCGCCCGGCUCAACUGGGCGGGGUCAGCGGAUACGGCGUAGCUGGAGCAAGCUAGGGGGCAAUGGAAUUCCCGGUGUAGUGGUGGAAUGCGUAGAUAUCGGGAGGAACACCAGUGGCGAAGGCGGUUGCCUGGAGCUUUGCUGACGCUGAUGCGCGAAAGCGUGGGGAGCGAUCCGG